This 95-nucleotide small nucleolar RNA is filed under the name Dothideomycetidae sp. 11243. RNAcentral's name for it is "fungal sp. No.11243 A. fumigatus snoRNA Afu_190". It matches the Rfam family "A. fumigatus snoRNA Afu_190". Lineage: Eukaryota; Fungi; Ascomycota; Dothideomycetes. The record is from Rfam by way of RNAcentral.
UUGUGAUGAAACAUCCAGCUGGCACCAGUCCUAGAAAGACUUGUACUCUUUUUGCUGCGGAUUAGCUUUGCGUGGACAAAGUCCCAAUCUCUGAA